UCAGGAUGAACGCUAGCGGCAGGCCUAACACAUGCAAGUCGAGGGGUAACAUUGGUGCUUGCACCAGAUGACGACCGGCGCACGGGUGCGUAACGCGUAUACAAUCUACCUUUUGCUAAGGGAUAGCCCAGAGAAAUUUGGAUUAAUACCUUAUAGUAUGCAGACUUCUCAUGGAGAUUGCAUUAAAGAUUACGGCAAAAGAUGAGUAUGCGUCCUAUUAGUUUGUUGGUGUGGUAACGGCACACCAAGACUACGAUAGGUAGGGGCCCUGAGAGGGGGAUCCCCCACACUGGUACUGAGACACGGACCAGACUCCUACGGGAGGCAGCAGUGAGGAAUAUUGGACAAUGGAGGCAACUCUGAUCCAGCCAUGCCGCGUGCAGGAAGACUGCCCUAUGGGUUGUAAACUGCUUUUAUACAGGAAGAAACACUCCCUCGUGAGGGAGCUUGACGGUACUGUAAGAAUAAGGAUCGGCUAACUCCGUGCCAGCAGCCGCGGUAAUACGGAGGAUCCAAGCGUUAUCCGGAAUCAUUGGGUUUAAAGGGUCCGUAGGUGGAUAAUUAAGUCAGAGGUGAAAGUUUGCAGCUCAACUGUAAAAUUGCCUUUGAUACUGGUUAUCUUGAGUUAUUGUGAAGUAGUUAGAAUAUGUAGUGUAGCGGUGAAAUGCAUAGAUAUUACAUAGAAUACCAAUUGCGAAGGCAGAUUACUAACAAUAUACUGACACUGAUGGACGAAAGCGUGGGUAGCGAACAGGAUUAGAUACCCUGGUAGUCCACGCCGUAAACGAUGGAUACUAGCUGUUGGGCUUCGGCUCAGUGGCUAAGCGAAAGUGAUAA
This 837-nucleotide ribosomal RNA is filed under the name uncultured Algibacter sp. RNAcentral describes it as "bacterial SSU rRNA". It matches the Rfam family "Bacterial small subunit ribosomal RNA", at positions 24 to 863 of the family's 1533-position model. Lineage: Bacteria; Pseudomonadati; Bacteroidota; Flavobacteriia; Flavobacteriales; Flavobacteriaceae. The record is from RNAcentral.